UACGGGGGGAGCAAGCGUUGUUCGGAUUUACUGGGCGUAAAGGGCGCGUAGGCGGUCAGCACAAGUCAGUUGUGAAAUCUCCGGGCUUAACUCGGAAAGGUCAACCGAUACUGUGCGACUAGAGUGCGGAAGGGGCAACUGGAAUUCUCGGUGUAGCGGUGAAAUGCGUAGAUAUCGAGAGGAACACCUGCGGCGAAGGCGGGUUGCUGGGCCGACACUGACGCUGAUGCGCGAAAGCCAGGGGAGCGAACGGG
This 254-nucleotide ribosomal RNA is filed under the name uncultured bacterium. RNAcentral describes it as "partial 16S ribosomal RNA". It matches the Rfam family "Bacterial small subunit ribosomal RNA", at positions 524 to 776 of the family's 1533-position model. The record is from RNAcentral.